GACGAACGCUGGCGGCGUGCUUAACACAUGCAAGUCGAACGGAAAGGCCCUGCUUUUGUGGGGUGCUCGAGUGGCGAACGGGUGAGUAACACGUGAGUAACCUGCCCUUGACUUUGGGAUAACUUCAGGAAACUGGGGCUAAUACCGGAUAGGAGCUCCUGCUGCAUGGUGGGGGUUGGAAAGUUUCGGCGGUUGGGGAUGGACUCGCGGCUUAUCAGCUUGUUGGUGGGGUAGUGGCUUACCAAGGCUUUGACGGGUAGCCGGCCUGAGAGGGUGACCGGCCACAUUGGGACUGAGAUACGGCCCAGACUCCUACGGGAGGCAGCAGUGGGGAAUAUUGCACAAUGGGCGGAAGCCUGAUGCAGCAACGCCGCGUGCGGGAUGACGGCCUUCGGGUUGUAAACCGCUUUCGCCUGUGACGAAGCGUGAGUGACGGUAAUGGGUAAAGAAGCACCGGCUAACUACGUGCCAGCAGCCGCGGUGAUACGUAGGGUGCGAGCGUUGUCCGGAUUUAUUGGGCGUAAAGGGCUCGUAGGUGGUUGAUCGCGUCGGAAGUGUAAUCUUGGGGCUUAACCCUGAGCGUGCUUUCGAUACGGGUUGACUUGAGGAAGGUAGGGGAGAAUGGAAUUCCUGGUGGAGCGGUGGAAUGCGCAGAUAUCAGGAGGAACACCAGUGGCGAAGGCGGUUCUCUGGGCCUUUCCUGGCGCUGAGGAGCGAAAGCGUGGGGAGCGAACAGGCUUAGAUACCCUGGUAGUCCACGCUGUAAACGGUGGGUACUAGGUGUGGGGUCCAUUCCACGGGUUCCGUGCCGUAGCUAACGCUUUAAGUACCCCGCCUGGGGAGUACGGCCGCAAGGCUAAAACUCAAAGGAAUUGACGGGGCCCCGCACGAGCGGCGGAGCAUGCGGAUUAAUUCGAUGCAACGCGUAGAACCUUACCUGGGUUUGACAUGGAUCGGGAGUGCUCAGAGAUGGGUGUGCCUCUUUUGGGGUCGGUUCACAGGUGGUGCAUGCCUGUCGUCAGCUCGUGUCGUGAGAUGUUGGGUUAAGUCCCGCAACGAGCGCAACCCUUGUUCACUGUUGCCAGCACGUUAUGGUGGGGACUCAGUGGAGACCGCCGGGGUCAACUCGGAGGAAGGUGGGGAUGACGUCAAGUCAUCAUGCCCCUUAUGUCCAGGGCUUCACGCAUGCUACAAUGGCUGGUACAGAGAGUGGCGAGCCUGUGAGGGUGAGCGAAUCUCGGAAAGCCAGUCUCAGUUCGGAUUGGGGUCUGCAACUCGACCUCAUGAAGUCGGAGUCGCUAGUAAUCGCAGAUCAGCAACGCUGCGGUGAAUAAGAUCCCGGGGCU
RNAcentral lists this ribosomal RNA (1346 nucleotides) under uncultured bacterium. Its description in RNAcentral is "partial 16S ribosomal RNA". It matches the Rfam family "Bacterial small subunit ribosomal RNA", at positions 28 to 1381 of the family's 1533-position model. The record is from RNAcentral.